Paramuricea clavata is the source of this 353-nucleotide non-coding RNA. The record is from the annotation of a GenBank genome assembly. Lineage: Eukaryota; Metazoa; Cnidaria; Anthozoa; Malacalcyonacea; Plexauridae.
CAUUGAUGGCCCUUAACGCGAUGUUACUGUUGACGGGAAAGUUGGAUGGAAAUGCUAGAUGGCCUAUUAUUUCCUUAAGAUUGACAGGUAUUUUCCUUGUUUUUUCAUCAUUCGUUCUUUUGGUGAUGAAUUUCGAUCGAUAUUUGGCGACAUCUUAUCCUAUCUUUCAUCGAACAUCGGUAACGAAGGGAAGACUUUUAACUCUUCUUGCAAUACUGAUCAUCGUCGACCUAAUUUUGAGAGCAAUGUCUGCAUACGACUUUGUUAUUUCCGACCAAGUAUAUAUUCUAAUUCUUUGUAUUCUUCUCAUUCCUGCAAUGUUAUUUUUCAACUACAAGCUGUUUCUAGUCGUC